CCGCCUUAUAAAUUCCCCUUAAGCAUGAGAUGAAUAUAUCAAAGAACUGUAUUAGCAGCCAACCUGAAGAGGCCCUGAUGAUAAGUAUCUGUGCACAUCUUUAUCCUUGUGGUUUUGUGAUGAACCAAAUUCGGUUAUGGUUCAGGUUACUUUGUUAUGCCCACUUCUUUUAAGAAGUUCGUAUCUCACCAUCUUCGCUAUUUUGUAAAACCAAAACACACUAACCGCUAGCAACCCCAAUGCCAUUGCCUGAAAUUUGAUGACAUGAACGAUUUUAGUGUUGGACUAAU
RNAcentral lists this long non-coding RNA (290 nucleotides) under Aquilegia coerulea. RNAcentral's name for it is "long non-coding RNA (ACOE_LNC000615)". The record is from RNAcentral. Lineage: Eukaryota; Viridiplantae; Streptophyta; Magnoliopsida; Ranunculales; Ranunculaceae.